GGGGCCGAUUUGGAUUCGACGCCGGUUACAACGCUCUGAGGUGCAUGCCGUGAUGACAGCCAAUCACGUAAAUCCAAAGCUGUAAACCUAAUAGUUGCCAACGACGACAACUACGCUCUAGCCGCUUAAACCCCGGUU
Molecule: transfer-messenger RNA, 138 nt
Filed under: Zhongshania sp.
Lineage: Bacteria; Pseudomonadati; Pseudomonadota; Gammaproteobacteria; Cellvibrionales; Spongiibacteraceae
Description: partial transfer-messenger RNA
Rfam family: transfer-messenger RNA
About the family: Bacterial tmRNA, also known as 10Sa RNA or SsrA, is named for its dual tRNA and mRNA-like properties. Its role is to liberate the mRNA from a stalled ribosome.
Source: RNAcentral